GAAGCAUGUCUGUCCCUAGCGGAGGCGCGGGUGCCGUGCUGAGAGCGCCUGCCUGUGCGCCCCGAGCGGGGCUGGGACUCUUCCAAGAUGCCCACGUUCGCACAGAGACCCCGGAUCGCGGAAGCUCGCGUCUCGAAAGGCGGUCUCACGCCCUGCCCGUCCUGGGUUCACGGUUUUUCAUCACCUGCGGCUGUCCUGCGAUCGACCACAGCUGUGCAGGAGGGGCAGGAGGCUGGUAGCUCAGGGAUGUCUCGUCUGUGAGUUACAGCUGCACGCUCUCCAGGAAAGAAGGAAUUUCCUCUUCUCUGGAAACCCCACCACACAGCUGGUUUCUCAUUGGUGCUGCUUGCCCAUUCCCUGAGCUGUGACUGCCAGAGGAGUGGGAGGUUGGUGGUGCCUCCAGCCCAUCAGGGGCAGGCCCUGGGACCGCCUGGGAACAGGAGGACUAUGGCACAAACCGAGUGAGUGAUGGGAGCAACCCGCAGGGCUCUGCCACAUCCCUGUCUUCCUUCACUGACAUGAAACGCAGAAAAGGCAGCUUUGCCACAACACAGGAGCACGCACCGAAUGUGGCCGCCCAGGGCUCUGUCCUUGACCCUGUUGUCCAGGACUGUUUACCAAGGGCUGACAGGCACUGAGUGCCCCGUGCACCUGGCCAGACACUGCACUCAUGCAGCGGAAAGGACAGUGAACGAGACUUUGUCCCUGGCCUCCAAAGGCUUAGGGCGUAGUGGCUGUCAUGAGGCACAGUGACAAGGGCCAGGAGGGGGACCUCUUAGGGGGCCAUGCAGUGAUGGAAGCCAGAAGGAAUGAAGGCCUGCAGUGAGGAUGGAGUGGUCGGCCUGAAGCCAUCUCUAGCAAGUGGUCAGGACGCUGAUUGUUCUGCGCAGGUUGGAGGUAGGUGGUGAGUCUGAGAAAGGGGCCGGAAAGACUCCCCAGCAACUGCUGGCAAAGGGUGAAGGGCACGUUCCCACAGGAUUCAAGCCAGCUGCCUUUGGAGGGGAGACGGGCACUCAGUUUAGGCGCUCCUACAGCAGGGUCAGCAAGACAAGCAGGUUGCGGCAAGGGUCUGCGCACUGCUGUGUAAAUGUAGGGGCAUCGGGGGGCAGAAAGACCAGGGGAGAAGUGUGCAUCACCCUUGGGGUUAAGGGACAGUUGUCUGCUAGGUGUUGCUUCCUGGAGAUGGCUGAAAAGCCAGUCCAGUCUGCAGGGACCAGGCCACCACCCACCUGAUGUGGGAGCAUUUCCCCCAAUCCCUGCUGGGCUGCUGAAUCUGGGGGACAUAGGGAAGCUGAGGCUGGUGUUCUGAGUAGUGGCAGAGCUGAGCCACAGGGCAUGUCUGAGGUCAGCCCCGAGCAAAAUGGAAUAGGGACUCAGGGUGGGUCAGGUAACUGGAAAGCGGGCACUGUGCACGCAGCCCUUGAGGGGAGCCAGGGUGGGUGGGGAUCCCCCACUGUGUGCAGAAGGCAGCAGCCUUGGAAGCAGGGUGUGCUCCUCGGUGUGGUCGCUCGAUACCAGAAAAUGACUCUAAAAACUGAAGAGUGUUUGAGUUUCAUUCACACAAAACAUGGACAUCAUCUGUGAGGCUCUGUCCCAGAGAGACAGGGCCAUCCCUCAUGUCUGUUAUUGGGUUGUAGAUAAACAAAAGUAUAAAUCAAACAAACUGCAAAUUA
Homo sapiens (human) is the source of this 1673-nucleotide long non-coding RNA. Ensembl annotates it as MRPL20 antisense RNA 1. Its record names the gene MRPL20-AS1. The record is from Ensembl. Lineage: Eukaryota; Metazoa; Chordata; Mammalia; Primates; Hominidae.